RNAcentral lists this ribosomal RNA (253 nucleotides) under uncultured bacterium. RNAcentral describes it as "partial 16S ribosomal RNA". It matches the Rfam family "Bacterial small subunit ribosomal RNA", at positions 524 to 776 of the family's 1533-position model. The record is from RNAcentral.
UACGUAGGGUGCAGGCGUUAAUCGGAAUUACUGGGCGUAAAGCGUGCGCAGGCGGUUUGCUAAGACAGGUGUGAAAUCCCCGGGCUUAACCUGGGAACUGCGCUUGUAACUGGCAAGCUAGAGUGUGGCAGAGGGGGGUGGAAUUCCCGGUGUAGUGGUGAAAUGCGUAGAUAUCGGGAGGAACACCAGUGGCGAAGGCGACUUCCUGGCCUGUUCUUGACGCUGAGGCGCGAAAGCUAGGGUAGCAAACGGG